This 301-nucleotide ribosomal RNA is filed under the name uncultured bacterium. RNAcentral describes it as "partial 16S ribosomal RNA". It matches the Rfam family "Bacterial small subunit ribosomal RNA", at positions 509 to 807 of the family's 1533-position model. The record is from RNAcentral.
CAGUCGCCGCGGUAAUACGGAGGAUCCAAGCGUUAUCCGGAAUCAUUGGGUUUAAAGGGUCCGUAGGCGGUCUUGUAAGUCAGUGGUGAAAGCCCAUCGCUCAACGGUGGAACGGCCAUUGAUACUGCAGGACUUGAAUUAUUGGGAAGUAACUAGAAUAUGUAGUGUAGCGGUGAAAUGCUUAGAGAUUACAUGGAAUACCAAUUGCGAAGGCAGGUUACUACCAAUUGAUUGACGCUGAUGGACGAAAGCGUGGGUAGCGAACAGGAUUAGAUACCCGGGUAGUCCCUGUCUCUUAUAC